Long non-coding RNA from Zea mays, 135 nucleotides. RefSeq lists it as uncharacterized. The transcript has 3 exons. The record is from RefSeq and is a predicted model, not a curated record. Lineage: Eukaryota; Viridiplantae; Streptophyta; Magnoliopsida; Poales; Poaceae.
UGCAGUUCAACUACGUGUGCCGCUGCGCGAAUGGCUACUUCGUGCACAGCACGGUGGACCAGUUCAGCGGCGAGAGCAGGCCGGUGACGCUCGCGCUCGGCGGUGAAGAGAUGAUCCGAGGCCUGAGAGACGUCC